This 312-nucleotide unclassified non-coding RNA is filed under the name Hevea brasiliensis (rubber tree). Lineage: Eukaryota; Viridiplantae; Streptophyta; Magnoliopsida; Malpighiales; Euphorbiaceae. The record is from RNAcentral.
UGUUUACCAAACUGCGGAGAACUCCAAUUAUUUAAUUCUGGUUUCGUUUUCUCUCCACGUCUGGGUCCUUUGACCACCCACAGUCAACCUUCUUCUCUAAAGAUUCAGAUUGGCAGGAGGUUAUUAAUGAUGCAAAGUUGAAAGAAGCUAUGAUUGAAAAGAUGAGGCCUUGAUAAAAAAUGAAACUUUGGAGCUUGUCACUCUUCCUGUUGGAAUUGAUGAGAUUUUACUUUAAUUUAUAGGAUAUGCUUAUGAGAAAAUCAUGUGAUUGAUUAACUUAAUUAGUGCUUGUAUUAAGGAGUAAUUUAAAGA